ACGGUGAAGCCAAGCUUGCUUGGUGGAUCAGUGGCGAACGGGUGAGUAACACGUGAGCAACCUGCCCUGAACUCUGGGAUAAGCGCUGGAAACGGCGUCUAAUACUGGAUAUGAGCUGCGGAGGCAUCUUCGUGGUUGGAAAGAUUUUUCGGUUUGGGAUGGGCUCGCGGCCUAUCAGCUUGUUGGUGAGGUAAUGGCUCACCAAGGCGUCGACGGGUAGCCGGCCUGAGAGGGUGACCGGCCACACUGGGACUGAGACACGGCCCAGACUCCUACGGGAGGCAGCAGUGGGGAAUAUUGCACAAUGGGCGGAAGCCUGAUGCAGCAACGCCGCGUGAGGGAUGACGGCCUUCGGGUUGUAAACCUCUUUUAGCAGGGAAGAAGCGAAAGUGACGGUACCUGCAGAAAAAGCGCCGGCUAACUACGUGCCAGCAGCCGCGGUAAUACGUAGGGCGCAAGCGUUAUCCGGAAUUAUUGGGCGUAAAGAGCUCGUAGGCGGUUUGUCGCGUCUGCUGUGAAAUCUGGGGGCUCAACCCUCAGCCUGCAGUGGGUACGGGCAGACUAGAGUGCGGUAGGGGAGAUUGGAAUUCCUGGUGUAGCGGUGGAAUGCGCAGAUAUCAGGAGGAACACCGAUGGCGAAGGCAGAUCUCUGGGCCGUAACUGACGCUGAGGAGCGAAAGGGUGGGGAGCAAACAGGCUUAGAUACCCUGGUAGUCCACCCCGUAAACGUUGGGAACUAGUUGUGGGGUCCAUUCCACGGAUUCCGUGACGCAGCUAACGCAUUAAGUUCCCCGCCUGGGGAGUACGGCCGCAAGGCUAAAACUCAAAGGAAUUGACGGGGACCCGCACAAGCGGCGGAGCAUGCGGAUUAAUUCGAUGCAACGCGAAGAACCUUACCAAGGCUUGACAUACACGAGAACGCUGCAGAAAUGUAGAACUCUUUGGACACUCGUGAACAGGUGGUGCAUGGUUGUCGUCAGCUCGUGUCGUGAGAUGUUGGGUUAAGUCCCGCAACGAGCGCAACCCUCGUUCUAUGUUGCCAGCACGUAAUGGUGGGAACUCAUGGGAUACUGCCGGGGUCAACUCGGAGGAAGGUGGGGAUGACGUCAAAUCAUCAUGCCCCUUAUGUCUUGGGCUUCACGCAUGCUACAAUGGCCGGUACAAAGGGCUGCAAUACCGCGAGGUGGAGCGAAUCCCAAAAAGCCGGUCCCAGUUCGGAUUGAGGUCUGCAACUCGACCUCAUGAAGUCGGAGUCGCUAGUAAUCGCAGAUCAGCAACGCUGCGGUGAAUACGUUCCCGGGUCUUGUACACACCGCCCGUCAAGUCAUGAAAGUCGGUAACACCUGAAGCCGGUGGCCCAACCCUUGGGA
Molecule: ribosomal RNA, 1370 nt
Filed under: Microbacterium sp. TMS1-2
Lineage: Bacteria; Bacillati; Actinomycetota; Actinomycetes; Micrococcales; Microbacteriaceae
Description: bacterial SSU rRNA
Rfam family: Bacterial small subunit ribosomal RNA
Source: RNAcentral